AAUGAACGCUGGCGGCAGGCCUAACACAUGCAAGUCGAACGGGUCCUUCGGGACUAGUGGCGGACGGGUGAGUAACGCGUGGGAACAUACCCAAAGGUACGGAAUAGCCUCUGGAAACGGAGAGUAAUACCGUAUGUGCCCUUCGGGGGAAAGAUUUAUCGCCGUUGGAUUGGCCCGCGUUGGAUUAGGUAGUUGGUGGGGUAAUGGCCUACCAAGCCGACGAUCCAUAGCUGGUUUGAGAGGAUGAUCAGCCACACUGGGACUGAGACACGGCCCAGACUCCUACGGGAGGCAGCAGUGGGGAAUCUUAGACAAUGGGGGAAACCCUGAUCUAGCCAUGCCGCGUGAUCGAUGAAGGCCUUAGGGUUGUAAAGAUCUUUCGGAUGGGAAGAUAAUGACGGUACCAUCAGAAGAAGCCCCGGCUAACUCCGUGCCAGCCGCCGCAGUAA
RNAcentral lists this ribosomal RNA (449 nucleotides) under uncultured bacterium. Its description in RNAcentral is "partial 16S ribosomal RNA". It matches the Rfam family "Bacterial small subunit ribosomal RNA", at positions 29 to 523 of the family's 1533-position model. The record is from RNAcentral.